RNAcentral lists this transfer RNA (98 nucleotides) under Puccinia triticina. Its description in RNAcentral is "tRNA-Gln". It matches the Rfam family "tRNA". From Rfam's summary of the family: Transfer RNA (tRNA) molecules are approximately 80 nucleotides in length. Their secondary structure includes four short double-helical elements and three loops (D, anti-codon, and T loops). RNAcentral also lists the same sequence under 1 other name. The record is from RNAcentral. Lineage: Eukaryota; Fungi; Basidiomycota; Pucciniomycetes; Pucciniales; Pucciniaceae.
CCUGGAAUCGUCUAGUGGUUAGGACACCAGGUUCUGAUCGUACGUGGCCGAUUGAGGAAGAUUUCCUGGUAACCUGGGUUCAAACCCCAGUUCCAGGU